RNAcentral lists this transfer RNA (72 nucleotides) under Nitellopsis obtusa. RNAcentral describes it as "tRNA-Val". It matches the Rfam family "tRNA". From Rfam's summary of the family: Transfer RNA (tRNA) molecules are approximately 80 nucleotides in length. Lineage: Eukaryota; Viridiplantae; Streptophyta; Charophyceae; Charales; Characeae. The record is from RNAcentral.
AGGGAUAUAACUCAGCGGUAGAGUGCCACCUUGACAUGGUGGAAGCCAUCAGUUCGAGUCUGAUUAUCCCUA